Canis lupus familiaris (dog) is the source of this 2878-nucleotide long non-coding RNA. RefSeq lists it as uncharacterized. The transcript has 3 exons. The record is from RefSeq and is a predicted model, not a curated record. Lineage: Eukaryota; Metazoa; Chordata; Mammalia; Carnivora; Canidae.
AGCAAUUCAGUAAGUGCACCAAGUAGAAUAAAUAGUUAAAAAAAAAAAACUAUCCUUUGCAUAUAGGUCAAGGACAAUGAUUGUAAAGACAUUAUCGUCUUGGUUCAAAUCUGAAUCAUUUAUAUCAUAUGUCAAUGAGGAAGAACUAUAAGCCUGGGACUAAGUGUGUUCUCAUGACUCCGAUCUUUCUACUCACUUACUCCAUAGCCUUGGGUAAGCCACCUCCCCAUUCCAUGAGGACAUUCAUUCAGGUAACUGUUGUGGUUUCUUGCAAUUCUAGAAUUCUGUGAACUCUAUUGGUGAACAGAACUCUAUUCUGUGAACUCAAAAUUGUUUAGCAGAAGACUGGCUAAGGCAUUUUCUUCCAGAUCCAAAGCCUGGGAUUAGAAUUGACAGAGGAUGGCUUUGUCAGAUUAGACAAAUUCCCAGACCACUAUUUCCUCAUCUGCUUGGUAUGGACAGGAACCCCUCUCUUGACAACUUCACAAGAUGGUGGCCACACAAAAUGGAAAGAAGAGAGACAGGAUUCCUGCCUCCCAGGGCCUAUAGUCCUAAUGGGAAGAGAUGAGAAAAUGGAAAAUGAAGACACAGGUGUAAGAAAAUUUUCUGAGGAAGCCAAGUCUCUACCUGGCCCUGAGGGACAAGGAUAACUGCUGAACAUCAUUAGGUGACCAUUAAUUUUAUCCUUUAAAGAGCUACAUGCUAAUGAUGAGUGAGUUGGAAAACACACCAAUCGGUCACAAUUGUCACUGACAUAUUGAGAAAGUAUAUGACAUCAAACUAGGUACCUGAAUGCCAAUUUUGUUGUUGUUAUAACCUCUGAACUGUACUGAAAUCAACAUCUGAGCAGUCAGCCCCUGACUCGGCAUUUGAUUUAUUUAUUUAUUUAUUCAUGAGAAAAGGAGAGAGGCAGAGACAUAGACAGAGGGAGAAGUAGGCUCCCUGCAGGGAGCCUGAUGCAGGACUCCAUCCCAGGACUCCAGGAUCAUUACCUCAACAACUGAGCCACCCAGGCAUCCCCACAUUCAGGUAUGUCUUAAACUAUGAAUCUGAAUCACUAAAAAGAGAAUCUUAUGGAACUUCUAAUUUUACUUUUUUUUUUCCUUGACUAGAGGACAGUCGAAUAUUUGAGGCAAAUUUUCAGCUUUCAUCCAACUCUUGUAUGGUAAGCCUUUGUCCCCAGGGUAAAUCUCUAAAAAGCCAGGGACUGUGGCUUACUUCCUCAAAAUGCCAACAUUAAUGAGAACAGUUCUGAAGUAUCAAACGAGAGAGAGCUCCUAAGUGUAGCCCAGGGGCAAUAGCCUCUUUGCCUUCAAUAACUAUGUUGUUGAUCUGCCAGCUGUUUUCUCCCAAGCCUGGGCACCUGGGAUAAUUGCUAAAUUCCAGGACAAAUAUCCUCUCUGAAGGACCACAUUUUAUCUUAAAAUGCAAAGAAUCUGCCCCUAACCAGGACCACAAGUCUUAUGUAUAUUUAGUUCAGAUAAGAAACCAGGAAAGGAAUUUCUUUUCAAUGAGAGUUCUUCAAAGGUAAAGUGUGAUUGUCUCCUACAGAGGAAGUUUGGUAGGGAAAUUUUUCAUCAGCUGGGUUGGGAAGGCAGCAGUGCAACACCAUUGGGAGAGUAUGGAUACAGAGUCAGGAAACCUGGUUCUCAGUACGUCUCUAAAAUGUUCAGUCUGUACAAUUUUGAGCAAGUAACUCAAUUCUCAUAAGUCAGAGCCCUUCUCUAUAAAAUAAAGAUAGCUAUCAUAAUUCCUCCUUUCCUUACUGUGUCAUUGUGAGGAUCAAUUUAUAGUACGGCAAAACAUACUAUAAAUACCAUAUGCUGAUUCAUUAUUAGCAUUAAUUUCACUUUCAUACCUGCCCUUUGGGAUUACAUGAGUAAAUCCUUUUCAGAUUCCCUAAAUGCCUUCAGUUUUGAAAUAGGAAAGAGUUUGUAAACCAAGUAUUCAUUGAACACCAAGUAUGGGUCCCUGACUCCAUCAGGAGCUAAAGAGUUAGCAAUCAACAAAGAAAAAAAUAUAUACGGUAAUCCUAACCGUAAGGACUUCAUAAUCUAGUCACGGAGAAGAUAUGGAUACAAAAGAAAUAAACACUGAAAAAAAAUCAAGAUGACAUAGAUUCACAGCCACUAAAAUGUGACCUAAGGGAUGGAUUCAUACAUAACAGAGGUGAAGGGUAGGCGAUGCUGAGGCAAGGUUUUGUGGAAAAAGAUUCACAAACUGAGUAAAGAUGUGGGCAUCUGGAGAAAUUAAACUAAGGAAAAGCUUAUCCCUUAAUUCAGUCACUGUUAAAUUGAGAUUGGUGUUAAAAGAAACUGAGGCAUAUUAAAAUUUUUUAACAAUUUUGGCAAAAAUUGAUUUGAAUUGCCAAUUAUCUAACAGAUGGAAAGAAGCUCCAAGGCAUUGUACAAAAGGAAAGACUUUCAUAGGCACAAGGGAGCGGGAGCAAGGAAGUAAUGCUAGGCAAAAAAAGGUGGGUUGGUUAUGACAAGGAUACUUUCCUUUAGGAGAUGGCAGGGAUAUAUCAGACAGAUUACCAAACUAAUUCUGAUCAAGUGACUCCUGAUUGACUAGUUUAAAAUUCCAAUUCUGGGAGAGCUGAAACUGUAAUCAAGUUAAGUUUUGGUUUGGUAAUACCUGGUUUAGCAUACAGAACUCCAUUUUGGACCUGUUGUCUUGUUUUUAAUACCAAAAAGAAUAACAGAGUAAUUGAAGGGACACAAGAUGACAGAAUCCAAAAUUCAGAUCUUAGCACAAGAAUUCCUAUCCUCUUAGACAAAGGUGGAAAUGUUAGCAAAUGUAUAAGGAAACAGAGUGAAGUUUACUACAAGACAGAAUAGAAAAUUCUAAGCAUUGGGGCACCUGGGUGGCUCAGUGA